Spinacia oleracea (spinach) is the source of this 496-nucleotide long non-coding RNA. RefSeq lists it as uncharacterized. NCBI's taxonomy places the organism in Eukaryota, Viridiplantae, Streptophyta, Magnoliopsida, Caryophyllales, Amaranthaceae. The transcript has 2 exons. The record is from RefSeq and is a predicted model, not a curated record.
CUGAAAUUAAAUUAAAAAUCAUUUUAUUUGUUUUACAGAAAUAAAGAAAAACCUCCAAACCCUUUUUCUCAUUAGUCUCUGUCUACGCUUAUUAACUGGGCCGCUGUUCCUUCUAUUCGUCGUCGCUCUACUCAUGUUCGCUACCACCGACGUCAUCAUCGUAGGUUAUUGUCUCCUUCUCGCCUUCCUCUCUUCCCCGCUCCCUGUUACGCUCACGGCAGUAACAACAAACAAGUCAAUCUACAGGUUUGUGAGUAAGCAUGCAUGGGGAUAGAUUUUGAAGUGCCUUUUUCGAACAUUACAUUGGUUUCGGAUUUUUUUAUGUAUUACAACUACUUAAUUGAUCUAUUCCUUGUGUUGGAGUUUGAAUUUAAUAAGGGGCCAAUCCAGGUCUCCGCAUUGUAUUUUGGACUAUCUGUUUUAAGACUUCCGCUGUUUGUUUUCGAAGUUAGACUAUAAAGGUUAACCGGUUUUCAAUUAAUUAUUUCAUCUGCCU